Molecule: ribosomal RNA, 253 nt
Filed under: uncultured bacterium
Lineage: Bacteria
Description: partial 16S ribosomal RNA
Rfam family: Bacterial small subunit ribosomal RNA
Source: RNAcentral
UACGGGGGGGGCAAGCGUUGUUCGGAAUUACUGGGCGUAAAGGGCGCGUAGGCGGUUCGAUAAGUCAGCUGUGAAAACCAUGGGCUUAACUCAUGGCCUGCAGUUGAGACUGUCGGGCUGGAGUGUGGGAGAGGAGAGUGGAAUUCCUGGUGUAGCGGUGAAAUGCGUAGAUAUCGGGAGGAACACCAGUGGCGAAGGCGGCUUCCUGGCCUGUUCUUGACGCUGAGGCGCGAAAGCUAGGGGAGCAAACGGG